CUGGCGGCGUGCCUAACACAUGCAAGUCGAACGGGGUGUCGAGAGCUUGCUCUUGACACUUAGUGGCGAACGGGUGAGUAACGCGUGAGAAACCUGCCUCUCAGUGGGGGACAACAGUUGGAAACGACUGCUAAUACCGCAUAAUGUAUCCGGAGGGCAUCCACUUGAUAUCAAAGGAGCAAUCCGCUGUAAGAUGGACUCGCGUCUGAUUAGCUAGUUGGUGAGGUAACGGCCCACCAAGGCGACGAUCAGUAGCCGGACUGAGAGGUUGACCGGCCACAUUGGGACUGAGAUACGGCCCAGACUCCUACGGGAGGCAGCAGUGGGGAAUAUUGGGCAAUGGGCGCAAGCCUGACCCAGCAACGCCGCGUGAAGGAAGAAGGCUUUCGGGUUGUAAACUUCUUUUGUCAGGGAAGAGUAGAAGACUGUACCUGACGAAUAAGCCACGGCUAACUACGUG
Molecule: ribosomal RNA, 460 nt
Filed under: uncultured bacterium
Lineage: Bacteria
Description: bacterial SSU rRNA
Rfam family: Bacterial small subunit ribosomal RNA
Source: RNAcentral